GACCCUCCAUGGUUCCCAGCACCCCACCCACCGGUCCCAUCCCCACACCUGCAGGCCCUGAGGACCAGCCCCUCACCCCCACCGGGUCGGAUCCCCAGAGUGGUGAGUGAGGGGCUCUGAGUGGGAGGUGGGCGGGGUCCAGGGGAGGCAGGGGUGGGUUCUGUCCUAGGUUCAGGCCUCUCUGGAGGUGGCGAUGUGGACAGGCCCCUCCCCUGCCUGGGCCUCAGUUUCUCCAAGUGUAAAGGCGAGAGGCCUGCGGGUGGGAAAGUUCCUUUCAGCUCUCACUCCCAGCUCUGCCCUCCUGGGAGAGGAGGCCUCCCAGGGAAGCCUCCAAGACCCGAUUCCGCGGGGGCCUGUCCUGUCCCACCUGCAGCAGAGACGGUGACCUGGGGCAGGGGAGGGGAGCAGAGUCAUGGUUCAAGACAGUCAGGCUCUUUCCCUGCAGCUCCGGGACUCGGCUCUGGUGCAGGAACAAGGGCUGCAGGUCAGACUCCCGGGUUCCCUUCCCAGCUCUGCCGCUUCCUGGCUGGGGGCCCAGGGCAGGCGAUUCCCCUCUCUGAGCGUCAGUUUUUCAUCUGUACAGCGGGUGGGGUGGAUGUUUCUGUGCUGCACGACUGUUGUGGGGGUUGGAGGUGGUGAAUAGAAGGUCCAGCAGUCACCUGCACACAGUAGGCGCUCAUUUCAAUGACAUCACCCCCAUCCCUGACAUCAUCGUGCUCAAGGUCUGGGAAGGCACCUGGGGGUUGUGAUCGGCAUCUUGGUGGCCGUCGUCCUCCUGCUCCUCCUCCUCCUCCUCCUGUUCCUCGUCCUCCGACACCGACGUCAGGGCAAACGCUGGACAUCGACCCAGAGAAAGGCUGAUUUCCAACAUCCUGCAGGGGCUGUGGGGCCAGAGCCCACAGACAGAGGCCUGCAGAGGAGGUAAUUCUGCCCAAAGACCCCAGACUCCCACCCGCCCCUGGCCCAUUCACUGCCCCUAAAGCUCCCGUUCCUCCCCCAGGUCCAGGCCAGCUGCCGAUGCCCAGGAAGAAAACCUCUAUGCUGCCGUGAAGGACACACAGCCUGAGGACGGGGUGGAGAUGGACACUCAGGCUGCUGCAUCUGAAGCCUCCCAGGAUGUGACCUACGCCCAGCUGCACAGCUUGACCCUCAGACGGGAGGCAACUGAGCCUCCUCCAUCCCAGGAAGGGCCCUCUCCAGCUGAGCCCAGCAUCUACGCCACCCUGGCCAUCCACUAGCCCGGAGGGUAGGCAGACUCCACACUCAGUAGAAGGAGACUCAGGACUGCUGAAGGCACGGGAGCUGCCCCCAGUGGACACCAGUGAACCCCAGCCAGCCUGGACCCCUAACAAAGACCAUGAGGAGAUGCUGGGAACUUUGGGACUCACUUGCUUCUGCGGUCGAAAUAACUAAUAUCCCUACAUUUUUUAAUUAAAGCAACAGACUUCUCAAUAA
Molecule: small RNA, 1455 nt
Filed under: Pan troglodytes (chimpanzee)
Lineage: Eukaryota; Metazoa; Chordata; Mammalia; Primates; Hominidae
Description: retained intron
Source: RNAcentral